This 424-nucleotide ribosomal RNA is filed under the name uncultured bacterium. Its description in RNAcentral is "partial 16S ribosomal RNA". It matches the Rfam family "Bacterial small subunit ribosomal RNA", at positions 360 to 776 of the family's 1533-position model. The record is from RNAcentral.
AAUUUUGGACAAUUGGGCAAACCCUUAUCCAGCCAUCGCGCGUGUAUGAUGGAGGCCUUCGUGUUUUAAAGUACUUUUGGCUGAGAAGAAAAGGUACCCCCUAAUACGGGAUACUCCUGUCGGUUUCUGCAGAAUAAGCACCGGCUAACUACGUGCCAGCAGCCGCGGUAAUACGUAGGGUGCAAGCGUUAAUCGGAUUUACUGGGCUUAAAGCGUGUGUAGGCGGUUCGGAAAGAAAGAUGUCAAAUCCCAGGGCUCGACCUUGAAACUGAAUUUUUAACUGCCGACCUAGAGUAUGUCAGAGAGGAGUAGAAUUCCACGUGUAGCAGUGAAAUGCGUAGAUAUGUGGAGGAAUACCGAUGGCGAAGGCAGCCCCCUGGGAUAAUACUGACGCUCAGACACGAAAGCGUGAGGAGCAAACAGG